RNAcentral lists this long non-coding RNA (300 nucleotides) under Bos taurus (domestic cattle). RNAcentral describes it as "long non-coding RNA NONBTAT013783". Lineage: Eukaryota; Metazoa; Chordata; Mammalia; Artiodactyla; Bovidae. The record is from RNAcentral.
CAUUAGUAAUACGGAAAAUGGUGCCUGGGGAGGGAGAUUAAUGAGCAAAUAUAUUGCUUCUUUUAGAGGAGGAGACAAAUACCCUCUUGUAUGAGAAUUUGGAUAUGGUCAAAGAAUGCAUUCUUCAGUUUUCAUUUGAGCACCCACUAUACAAAAAGAUCUGAACACCUGUGCAUGGAAAUAGGAAAUAUUUUCAUGUGUUUACCUUCAGUGCCAUAGAGGCCAAUAUGCACAUUAAAGCCAAGACAUGGAUGUUUAAAAGAAUUUAAUGUUUAAACCAUUACCACUGAUGCUUUCACA